This 253-nucleotide ribosomal RNA is filed under the name uncultured bacterium. RNAcentral's name for it is "partial 16S ribosomal RNA". It matches the Rfam family "Bacterial small subunit ribosomal RNA", at positions 524 to 776 of the family's 1533-position model. The record is from RNAcentral.
UACGGGGGGGGCAAGCGUUGUUCGGAAUUACUGGGCGUAAAGGGCUCGUAGGCGGCCAACUAAGUCGGAUGUGAAAUCCCCAGGCUUAACCUGGGAAUUGCAUCCGAUACUGGAUGGCUUGAAUCCGGGAGAGGGAUGCGGAAUUCCAGGUGUAGCGGUGAAAUGCGUAGAUAUCUGGAGGAACACCGGUGGCAAAGGCGGCAUCCUGGACCGGCAUUGACGCUGAGGAGCGAAAGCCAGGGGAGCAAACGGG